ACGAACGCUGGCGGCGUGCUUAACACAUGCAAGUCGAACGGAAAGGCCCUGCUUGCAGGGUACUCGAGUGGCGAACGGGUGAGUAACACGUGGGUGAUCUGCCCUGCACUUCGGGAUAAGCCUGGGAAACUGGGUCUAAUACCGGAUAGGAGCCAUUUUUAGUGUGAUGGUUGGAAAGUUUUUUCGGUGUAGGAUGAGCUCGCGGCCUAUCAGCUUGUUGGUGGGGUAAUGGCCUACCAAGGCGGCGACAGGUAGCCGGCCUGAGAGGGUGGACGGCCACAUUGGGACUGAGAUACGGCCCAGACUCCUACGGGAGGCAGCAGUGGGGAAUAUUGCACAAUGGGCGCAAGCCUGAUGCAGCGACGCCGCGUGGGGGAUGACGGCCUUCGGGUUGUAAACUCCUUUCGCUAGGGACGAAGCUUUUUGUGACGGUACCUAGAUAAGAAGCACCGGCUAACUACGUG
Molecule: ribosomal RNA, 464 nt
Filed under: uncultured bacterium
Lineage: Bacteria
Description: partial 16S ribosomal RNA
Rfam family: Bacterial small subunit ribosomal RNA
Source: RNAcentral